ACCCUGUCUCAAGAUUAGCCAUGCAUGUGUAAGUAUAAAUAAUUCUACUUUGAAACUGCGAAUGGCUCAUUAUAUCAGUUAUAGUUUAUUAGAAAUAAUUUACUACUUGGAUAACCGUAGUAAUUCUAGGGCUAAUACAUGAGUAAAUCCUCGACUUUGAAGAGGUGUGUUUAUUAGUAUGAAAACCAUAUGCUUUUGCAUAAUAGUGAGUAAUAAUAACCUUUCAUAUCGUAUGUUGUAAUAACGAUAGUUCUUUCAAGUUUCUGCCCUAUCAGCUUUCGAUGGUAGUGCAUUGGACUACCAUGGCAGUAACGGGUAACGAAGAAUUUGGGUUCGAUUUCGGAGAGGGAGCCUGAGAGAUGGCUACCACAUCCAAGGAAGGCAGCAGGCGCGUAAAUUACCCAAUCCUGACAUAGGGAGGUAGUGACAAUAAAUCACAAUGCGGGACUUUUAGUUUUGCAAUUGGAUUGAGAACAAUGUAAAAGAGUUAUCGAUAAACAAUUGGAGGGCAAGUCUGGUGCCAGCAGCCGCGGUAAUUCCAGCUCCAAUAGCGUAUAUUAACGUUGUUGAAAAAAAAAAACCCUAACAGUC
RNAcentral lists this ribosomal RNA (591 nucleotides) under Blastocystis sp. RNAcentral describes it as "SSU rRNA". It matches the Rfam family "Eukaryotic small subunit ribosomal RNA", at positions 28 to 638 of the family's 1831-position model. Lineage: Eukaryota; Bigyra; Opalinata; Blastocystidae. The record is from RNAcentral.